Non-coding RNA from Rattus norvegicus (Norway rat), 492 nucleotides. The record is from RefSeq and is a predicted model, not a curated record. Lineage: Eukaryota; Metazoa; Chordata; Mammalia; Rodentia; Muridae.
AGUUCAGUGUAAAGAGCCAUUUGAGAGGGAGGACAAAUAGGAUGAAGAGAUCAGAGAUGGGGAGAAAGAAGAUGGCCUUCUGUCUUGGUAUAAUAGAAAAGAAGAAAUAUGUGUUUCUUGGGAAAACACCCUGGAUUGGUGACUUCAUGCUGUCCAUCAGCCAUGCUCAAGUACCCUUUCCUCCUCUUCUCCUGAAUUGUCACUUGCAUACCUGCACUUGAUCCAACUAUGCUCCUUGUGGCCUGAACACACGAAUAUGGCUUAAAUCUGUGCAGUUCUGCAAUUAUUUGCCUCCAGGACAAGUGACCAAUCUACUAGAGCACACAGAAAGCCUCAUUCUCUGAGAAAACUCUGACACUCAUCUCUAUCUUAGAAAAUGUUUUUUAUGUUCAUCAGCACAAAGACAAUGAUUGGCAACAGUAACUGGUCGCCCUGUUCAUAUCAGAAGAGAGGGAAUGAAAAAUGUUGGAAAGUAAAAACGUGCUACUGCAU